AGACUUUAUUUUUCAUCUAAAUUUAAUUUAUGUCUUUUUUUUAAGGUCUUCUAUGUAACUCUUCAUCAUUUCAUAUUUUCCUCUAGCUUCUUUAUUUUAUUUUAUUCUAUUUUUUGAGACAGAGUCUCGCUCUGUUGCCCAGGCUGAAGUGCAGUGGUGAGAUUUUGGCUCACUGCAACCUUCACCUCCUGAGUUCAAGUGAUUCCUGUGAUACUCUUCUAUGCAAUAGAAAGAGAUUAUAUUAAUUCACUCAUUGAGCUUUCACAGUAAUAUAAACCAUAUUAGGCUUGUCAUUCUGUCAGUGAUGGGUGUAAGUUUGUGGCUUUUAUUACUCAUACCAUCCUCUGACAAAGGCAUCCUAUUUCUCUUUCCAAUUUCACAAUAAGGUGCAGAAGAAGGUCUUUACCAUCUGUUAAAGAUGUUCAGGGCCGGGCAUGGUGGCUCACAACUGUUUCAAAAAAAAAAAGCAAAAAGAAAAGAAAAAGAAAGAAAAAAAGAGAGACUUUCUUUUCUAUCUAUUAUUACUAUCUUCUUCUAGACUGUAGUUCACUACCAGAGAUUAUCCACUUAGCUGCACUCAGUUUGCACCUGGCCUGUAUCACCACUUAGCUCUCACUCCAGCCUCAGUUAGGUAUCAGCAAGACCUCACCAAAGAUUAUUGUUUCAUUGUAUAUGUGUGUGUGUUUUUGUUUGUUUCAGGUAACAACUGAUGUUGGAACUAUGAAAAGCUCUUCUCUACUUUUAACAAAGCUUAGUCACAAACAGUUCCCCAGUUGACGAGAACAACUAAAACAACAGAACAAUUGAAAGUCCAAAUUUACAAAAAAAAAAAAAAAAAAAAAAUUAGUCAAGCAUGGUGGCACGUGCCUGUAAUCCCAGCUACUCAGGAGGCUGAGGCAGGAGAAUUGCUUGAACCCAGAAGGUGGAGCGUCUUUGAAAUUCACAGAGAAUAUGAAAAGCAGGUUGUCCUGUACAGUAUCUGCAAUCAGUUACGAUACAGAAAUAACUUAAACAUGUCAAGAAAGAUGAAUGCAGAUACUGUGAGGAAGUGCUAAAGUACAGCCAAGAUCAUCUCAUGCUGUACCCUUACCAUCUAUCGGAUAUUAUGGUGAAGGGCUUGAGCAUAACACCAUUUUCAUAUUAUACUGGGAUUAUGGAGAAUAUUAUGAACAGUGAGAAAAGUUAUGACUCAUUGCCCAAUUUUACUGCUGCUGACUGUCUAAGGCUUCUCGGCAUAGGAAGAAACCAGUAUAUUGAUCUUAUGAAUCAGUGUAGAUCAUCAAAAAAAUUCUUCAGAAGGAAAACAGCCCAUGAUCUUCUACCAAUAAAGCCAGUGGAAAUUGCCAUAGAGGCGUAGUGGGUGGUGCAGGCUGGAUAUAUCACAUAAGAUGACAUCAAGAUACGCACUUUGCCUGAGAAAUGUGCCUGAGAAAUCAGCUUCAUCGGCAACUGAUACUGAUACAAAUAGUCAAGAAGAUCCAGCUGACUCAGCCAGUGUAAGCAGCCUGAGUCUGUCUACAGGACACACGAAACGCAUCGCAUUCCUGUUUGACUCCAGUCUUAC
RNAcentral lists this long non-coding RNA (1564 nucleotides) under Homo sapiens (human). RNAcentral's name for it is "non-protein coding lnc-NUDT4B-1:12". The record is from RNAcentral. Lineage: Eukaryota; Metazoa; Chordata; Mammalia; Primates; Hominidae.